GUGGUCACUUCGGAGGCACAUAUAUUAAAAUUGUAAUGAUACAGAGAAGAUUAGCAUGGCCUCUGCACAACGAUGACACGCACGUUUGUGAAGUUUUCCUAUUUUUC
Molecule: small nuclear RNA, 107 nt
Filed under: Gorilla gorilla gorilla (western lowland gorilla)
Lineage: Eukaryota; Metazoa; Chordata; Mammalia; Primates; Hominidae
Source: RNAcentral